RNAcentral lists this microRNA precursor (69 nucleotides) under Mandrillus leucophaeus (drill). RNAcentral describes it as "miRNA (ENSMLEG00000002801.1)". Lineage: Eukaryota; Metazoa; Chordata; Mammalia; Primates; Cercopithecidae. The record is from RNAcentral.
GUUGGUGCAAAAGUAAUUGCGGAUUUUGUCAUUGCUUUUUAUUGCAAAAACCACAAUUACUCUGGCACC